GCGGUGGAGCUUGAGAGUUGUCGUAACACAGACCUUGUUUUUGAUGUUCAACAAACAGUGUGCGUCUAUAAAUCUUGAUUCAGCACCCUCCCAGGGAUUACGUCACAGGCUGCAGAGUGCCUCAAUGCCGGUCAGUUUCAGGGCCCGAGCAAAACAGGACACGUCUUGGGAAAACAGGACGUUUGGUCACCCUCUACUAAACACCUGCAACAUACCGCAGUCUCUCCUGAAAUGCCACAGAUUGCUCAUGACGCCUCCUUCUCCAUGAACUCAUAACCAGACCCCCUUUGGGUUUAAUUCCUUCUAGUCUCUCCGUGUCCUGGGUCUUCCACGAGGCCUCCUACCGCUCAGACGUGCCCUGAACACCUCCUGAAAGAGUGUCCUUUCGGUCACUACCCAAAGCUCGUGACCGUAGCCUUCCCUCACUCGUGAGUGAACAAUACCCAGAGGUAACACCUCCACUCAGAACAGGAUUUCAUCCACGACCCGGAGGUGGUUUCUGGGUGAGAUCCAUGGACUCAGCCAUGGAGGUCCUGAUUCUCAACCCAGCUGUUUCACACUCGGCUGCAAACCAACUCAGUGAGACUUGAAGAUCAGGGCCCUGAUGAAGCCAGAAGGACCACAUCAUCUUCAAAAAGCAGAGACCCAAUCCUGCAGUCACCAAACCAGAUCCCCUCAACACCUUGGCUGCUCCUAGAAAAUGUGUCCAUAUAAAUUAUGAACAGAAUCGGUGACAAAGGGCAGACCUGGAGCCCUGGCAGAGUCCAACCCUCACUGGAAAUGAGUGCGACAUAUUGCCGGCAAUGUGGUCUAAGCUCUGACAACGGUCAUACAACGAGCGAACUGCCUGAAUUAGGUGGUCCACACUCACAGAGUAUUCCCGAUAGGAUUCCUAAAGGAACACCGUCAAAUGCCUUCUCCAAGUCCACAAAACACAUGUGGAUUGGUUGGGCAAGCUCCCAUGCACCUUCAAGGACUCUGUCGAGAGUGUAGUGUUGGUCUACAGUUCCACGACCAGGACGAAAACUACACUGCUUUUCCUGAAACUGGGAUUGAACUAUCCAGCGAAUCCUGCUCUCCAGAACCCCUGAAUAGACCUUACCAGGAAGGCUGAGGAGUGUGAUCCCAUGAUAGCUGGAAUGUACUCUCGUUAUUAAAUAGGAGGACCGCCAACCCAGUCUGCCAAUCCAAAGGAACUGUUCCCGACAUCCAUGCAAUGCUGCAGGGUUGUGUCAGUUCCAGAGAUAGGAGAGGCCACCAUGGAGUCCGCAGGAGGUCUUCAAAGUAUUCCUUCCACCGGUCCACAACAUCUCGUAUUGAGGUCAGCAGCACACCAUCUCCACCAUACACGGUGUUGACAGCGUACUGCUGCUCCAUCCUGAGACAGCGGAUGGUGGUCCAGAAUCUUUUUGAAACCGUCCAUAAGUUGUUCUCCAUUGCUUCCCCGAACUCCUCCUCCUACGAGUUUUUGUCUCGGCGGCCGCCAAAAUCAGAAACCACUUGGUCUUCUGGUACCUGUAAGCUGUCUCUGGAGUUCUAAUGAGCAAAAAGUCCCGCUAGGACUCUUUCUUCAGUUGACGGCAUCUGUCACAGCUGUUCACCAACGGCUUCUGGGAUUACCACCACAACAGGCACAUUCGGACUCAAGUGUCCACUGCCUUCCUUGGAACAUGGUCGAAGCUCACCUGAGGUGAGUUGAAACGCCUGACAGGGGACUUUGCCAGAUGUUCUCAGCAGACCCCGCACAGAAGUCUCAUAACAAAGCACCGCUCUGAUUCAGAUCGGGUGGGGACUCCCUCCAAAUCACGCCUCUCCUGGUCUCACUGUUGCUGCCAACGUGAGCAAAGAACCCCAGCAAAACAAGGGAAUCCCCCAACGGAGCACUCGCCAGUACUCCCGCUAGGACAGGGGUAGGGAACCUAUGGCUUGCGAGCCAGGUGUAACACAAUAAAAUUUUAUUUUUUCCCACUGACAUUUUAAAAUAAAACAUUACAGAAAUCACACUGUUAAAAUUCAUUUAUUAUAAUUUUUCCUGAUGACAUUUUAAA
Dunckerocampus dactyliophorus (ringed pipefish) is the source of this 2048-nucleotide long non-coding RNA. RefSeq lists it as uncharacterized. The record is from RefSeq and is a predicted model, not a curated record. The transcript has 5 exons. Lineage: Eukaryota; Metazoa; Chordata; Actinopteri; Syngnathiformes; Syngnathidae.